Molecule: ribosomal RNA, 1274 nt
Filed under: Macrohyliota sp. 1 MJ-2020
Lineage: Eukaryota; Metazoa; Arthropoda; Insecta; Coleoptera; Silvanidae
Description: 16S ribosomal RNA
Rfam family: Archaeal large subunit ribosomal RNA (bases 548-1274)
Source: RNAcentral
AUUAAAUAAAUUAUUUAUAUUAUUAGUUUAGAAAUUUUAUAAAAUAAAAAUAUUAUUAUUAAUUAUUUUGUUAAGAAAAAUUUAUUUUAAUUAUAGUUAUUAGUAUAGUGAUAGAAUUUUAUUAAAUAUUUUACAGAAAAAAUUAUAUUUUGUAUCUUGUGUAUCAGAGUUGAUUUAUUAAAAAUUAAAAAUUUAAUUUUCUCGAAUUUAAAAGAGUUAAUAAUUUAUAUUUUUUAUUGUAAAAUAAAUAUUAUUAAUAAAUUAUUAGAAAUGAAAUGUUAUUCGAUUUUAAAUAUAUCUAGUUUUUAAAGAAAAAAUUUUAAAUUAUUUAUUUAAAAUUAAAAAUUUAAUUAGAAAAUUUUUUAAUUUAAGUAGGUUAUAUUUUUAGGGAUGAGCUUAAAAAUAAAUUAUUAUAAAUAAUUAAAAAUUUUAAUUUGUAGGAUUAGAAAUUUCUUUCAAUAAAAAAUUGUUAUAAUUUAUUAUGAAUUUAUUAUUAUUUUUAUUUAUUUUAAAUUUUUUAUUUAAAUUUUUAUUAAAAUUUUAAAAAUACUAUAAUAAUGAUUAAAUUAGUAAAAAUAAUUGUUUAGUUUUUAAAUAAAAAUUAAUUUUAAAUUAAGGAAUUCGGCAAAAAUAAUUUUCACCUGUUUAUUAAAAACAUGGCUUUUAGAAAAUAAUUUAAGGUCUGGCCUGCCCACUGAAAUAUUAAAGGGCCGCAGUAUUUUGACUGUGCUAAGGUAGCAUAAUCAUUAGUUUCUUAAUUGGAAGCUGGAAUGAAUGGUUAAAUGAAAAAUUAUCUGUCUCAAUUUAAUAAAAUGAAUUUUAUUUUUAAGUGAAAAAGCUUAAAUUUAUAUAUUAGACGAGAAGACCCUAUAGAGUUUUAUAAUUCAGGAAAAAAUUUUUUUUAGUAAUAAUAGAUUUUUUUUUUAUUUAUUUGGUUGGGGUGAUUAAAAAAUUUAAUUAACUUUUUAAUAAUUUAAACAAAAAUUUUUGAAUCUUUGAUCCAUAUUGAUGAUUAAUAGAGAAAUUACCUUAGGGAUAACAGCGUAAUUUUUUUUGAGAGUUCUAAUCGAAAAAAAAGUUUGCGACCUCGAUGUUGGAUUAAAAUUUAAUUUUGGCGUAGAAGUUAAAAAUUUAGGUCUGUUCGACCUUUAAAAUUUUACAUGAUCUGAGUUUAAACCGGUGUGAGCCAGGUUGGUUUCUAUCUUUAGAUAAAUAAAAUAUUUUAGUACGAAAGGACCAAAUAUUUAAUUAAUAAUUUUAAAUAGAAUAAGAUU